AAUAAAUGAUGACAUUGACCUUUUCUCACAUGUUUAACCAUUCGUCUUAUUUAAAAACUUUACGUAAUUGUAAUUUAUUUUGUUAUGAGUUGUUUUAUCACUCAUAGUACUUUAAGUGUCAUUUAUAUCUUAUACAUUUAUAUAAAAUUUUUGAAUAAGACGAAUGGUCAAACAUGUGAGAAAAAGUUAACGGCGUCAUCUAUA
RNAcentral lists this microRNA precursor (204 nucleotides) under Oryza sativa Japonica Group (Japanese rice). RNAcentral describes it as "MIR812 microRNA precursor family". It matches the Rfam family "MIR812 microRNA precursor family". The record is from Rfam by way of RNAcentral. Lineage: Eukaryota; Viridiplantae; Streptophyta; Magnoliopsida; Poales; Poaceae.